Molecule: ribosomal RNA, 253 nt
Filed under: uncultured bacterium
Lineage: Bacteria
Description: partial 16S ribosomal RNA
Rfam family: Bacterial small subunit ribosomal RNA
Source: RNAcentral
UACGUAGGGUGCAAGCGUUGUCCGGAAUUAUUGGGCGUAAAGGGCGCGUAGGCGGCUCUAUAAGUCAAAGGUGAAAUCCCUCGGCUCAACUGAGGAACUGCCUUUGAAACUGUUGGGCUUGAGGCCGGGAGAGGGUAGUGGAAUUCCCAGUGUAGCGGUGAAAUGCGUAGAUACUGGGAGGAACACCAGUGGCGAAGGCGGCUACCUGGACCGGUUCUGACGCUGAGGCGCGAAAGCGUGGGUAGCAAACAGG